Acanthochromis polyacanthus (spiny chromis) is the source of this 3045-nucleotide long non-coding RNA. RefSeq lists it as uncharacterized. NCBI's taxonomy places the organism in Eukaryota, Metazoa, Chordata, Actinopteri, Pomacentridae. The transcript has 8 exons. The record is from RefSeq and is a predicted model, not a curated record.
UUUCAUUUGGUUGUCGGUAUUUCUUUGUUGAACUGAGAAAUUAUAGAUAAGAUUUUUACAUAACUUCAUGUAUUAUCCUACAAUAGUUAGUUCUGAGCUGAGCAGAACAGCAACUAACCACUUCCUUUUCUCAGCGCCUCCUCCACAAAUACAUGUACAAGCGCAACGUGAAGCUCCACUUUGUCUUCCUCUGUCUGAUGGACAUCAUGUCUAGCCUGAACCAAGUAGCGCUGCUCUUCAUUCAGCUCUCUGGGAUGUGGCAUGUCUUUGCAGCUUCUUCUCUUACAGUUGACUACAGGGACAUGCUGGUGUCCAGAGGAGGAUUAGCCGAGUUCAUCUGCAACACAUCCGACAGAAAUGUCACACAAAUCAGCUGGAUAAAAGGCGGAUCUUCUUACACACAUAGCAUCUUUCACAAUCAGACACAAUCAAAUUUCUCCUCUAACAGAGUGACAAUAGACCAUAACUUACCUAAAAAGCUGAGUAUUAUUGAUGCUCAACCUGAGGAUGAAGGAUUUUAUACAUGUAAUGUAACUGACUUUUUUGGCUUACACACUAUCAAGUGGAAAUUAACUGUGUCUGGGAACGCAGCUAUCCAUCCACUGCAUUUGGUAUACAUCCUGGCUUCUUCGAUUUCAUUUCUUCUGUGUGGCAUCAUGUUGUCAGCGCUCUGUCUUUGCAGAAAGUUUAGGACCAGGACAAGGAAUCAGGAUCCAGACCAGGACCAGUCUGGAGGAGAGGGCGGCACAGGCAGCAGGACAAAUAACAACAGGAGUCAGUACAAAGAGAGGCUGAAUUCAAUCUAUGGUCACUUCUGAGCUGAAGAGACGUUCAAAUGACAGCUUCAAAGAUACAUGGACAAGAAGGAGAAGAAAUUUGAUGGACGUUCUGUUUUAUUUUGUCACUUUCAAAGCAGGUAUUAAAAAGGAAGGCCAACAGAGGGAGGACAGGCGGACAAAAGGAUACCUUAUCUUUACUUAUCUUUUAUAUUUAUGGUUUUAAUAUGUUCUUAUGCAUGAAUGUUUUAACAGUAGCAUUGCACAGUGAAUGUCGUUCUGAUUUUCAAAAUAAUUUCCGAACAAUAUUUGUCAUAAUGACAUUAAAGUUACCUCAAAUCAACCCAAAAGUGGGGCCUGGCCAUCGUAGAGCUUCGUAAUAUGAAAGUCUCUUAUGUUUUAAACUAUUUACUUUUCAUGUACAGUUUUAUUUUCAGUUAGUCCAGCAGAGUAGACAAAUGUGAGCUGCUCUGCUGCUUUACACAAGGAGUGAAUGAGGUUUAUACUGUGAAUAUACAGGCGCACAAAAUGGUGUAAAACUUGAUGGUUAACAUCGGUCGGAAGUCAGAUCCGGUUUGUGUAACAGUGUCUUCUGAGCCAUACAAGCUGUUGACUCCCGCAGGCACGUACAGCUCACUGAGACCUGAUUAUGUUAAAUAUUUGACACACUGUGAGCAUGCUCAGCAGCAGGUUCACACUACGCGGUUAAGCUGUCUUCACCACUAGAAGUGCUUUUCCUGUUGUGUCACCUCAUGUACAGUUUAUAAUUGAGUUCAUUAAAUGAUUAAGACCAAUAAAAUCAUUGUCAGGGUAUUAUCAAUUAACAAACAAUAAAUCACACUGCCGAUUUGAUUUUGACUUCAUUUUAUGCUCCAUUAAAUGCGUUUUUUAAACUUCGACUAACCACUUCCGCUUCUUGUCACCCCCGCUACAAAACACAUGUAAAACUUCAGUUUAGUCAGACUCCACUUUGUCUUCCUCUGAUGGACAUCAUGUCUAGCCUGAACCAAGUAGCGCUGCUCUUCAUUCAGCUCUCUGGGAUGUGGCAUGUCUUUGCAGCUUCUUCUCUUACAGUUGACUACAGGGACAUGCUGGUGUCCAGAGGAGGAUUAGCCGAGUUCAUCUGCAACACAUCCGACAGAAAUGUCACACAAAUCAGCUGGAUAAAAGGCGGAUCUUCUUACAUACAUAGCAUCUUUCACAAUCAGACACAAUCAAAUUUCUCCUCUAACAGAGUGACAAUAGACCAUAACUUACCUACAAAGCUGAGUAUUAUUGAUGAUCAACCUGAGGAUGAAGGACUGUAUACAUGUAAUGUAACUGACUUUUUUGGCUUACACACUAUCAAGUGGAAUUUAAUUGUGUCUGGGAACCACAAAGGUAGGUAAAGCACAAAGCAAUCUAAUAAUUUCUACAUAUCACAUAACACGCCACAUGCUACUUAAUUUAAUUCAUUGUUUAUUUCAUGCAGAUAUCCACUCGUCAAGGUAUUUGGCACUCACAUCUGUUAUCGGACCACUUCUGUGCUGCACCAUAUUAGUUCUCAUCAUCUACAGAGGACAGUGGAGCAGGACUGCAGAUGAGAACCUGUACAACAGCAACACCAUGACCUGGGUCCUGUAUCAUGUUCCGUUAGGAGGAGAGGUGACCCCUCCACAACCUCAAAGUUAUGCAGUCUAUGAGGACAAAUCGCACAGAGAAUGAGAGACUUUGAGAAGCUCCAUUCAGUCUGCUGGGCUGACGAAAGGGACUUCAGGUCAAAGCUGAGUAACAAAGAACAGACAUGUUGGACAGGAAGCAGAAAAGGCAAAUAGAGCAUCAGUAUCAGUAACAGCCAAGCUUACUUUUCUGUUUCUGUAGAAUAAUGCCACCAGUUCUUUAGCAAACUCACAGCAGCUUACUCUUUCUGGCUUGGUAUGUAACCAUAAGAUAAUAUGUUUUAUUGUUAGUGAUUAUUCACACAUUUGGGGUUGUUUGUAGUUUAUCUGCUUUGGCUUUUGUGCAUGCAAAACAUCUGUCUUUGCACAUAUUUUAAGGUUUUUUUGUGUGUGUCCAGCUUAUUAUUUUAAAGAUUUUCUCAGGUUCUUGCAAAAAUAUAUAAAAUGUUUAAAACCAUGUUCUGAUUUUCUACUAUUGCAACACAGGUAUUAAAACAUCAGCAAUCUGUCAUUGAUGCAAAACUGUUUUGCAAAUGUGAGAUUUAAUUGGCUCGAACUUUGUAACCUUGUACAAGUUAUAAAGGAAAUAAACAACAGACAUUAUCUCACAA